GAUGAACGCGGCGGCGUGCCUAACACAUGCAAGUCGAACGAAGGUAUAUAUAGGAAGUCUUCGGAUGGAAUAUGUAUAACUUAGUGGCGGACGGGUGAGUAACGCGUAAGUAAUCAACCUGUGACACACGGAUAACUGAUAGAAAUGUCAGCUAAUACGAGAUGGACUGUUUAAAUUGGGAAAUGGAAACAGCAAAGCGAAAGCGGUCACAGACGAGCUUGCGUCUGAUUAGCUAGUUGGUGGGGUAAGAGCCUACCAAGGCGACGAUCAGUAGCCGGCCUGAGAGGGUGAACGGCCACAUUGGAACUGAGACACGGUCCAAACUCCUACGGGAGGCAGCAGUGGGGGAUAUUGCACAAUGGGGGGAACCCUGAUGCAGCAACGCCGCGUGAGUGAAGAAGGCCCUAGGGUCGUAAAGCUCUGUCGUAUGGGAAGAAACAAAUGACUUACCAUACAAGAAGCCCCGG
Molecule: ribosomal RNA, 467 nt
Filed under: [Eubacterium] yurii
Lineage: Bacteria; Bacillati; Bacillota; Clostridia; Peptostreptococcales; Filifactoraceae
Description: bacterial SSU rRNA
Rfam family: Bacterial small subunit ribosomal RNA
Source: RNAcentral